Prinia subflava (tawny-flanked prinia) is the source of this 1097-nucleotide long non-coding RNA. RefSeq lists it as uncharacterized. NCBI's taxonomy places the organism in Eukaryota, Metazoa, Chordata, Aves, Passeriformes, Cisticolidae. The record is from RefSeq and is a predicted model, not a curated record. The transcript has 5 exons.
UAAAAACCUGUUUGUGAUUAAUAGUGGUAGAGAAGGUGCAGGGUCAGAGCUACCUGCUCUCUAGUGAAGCUGCUGCCAGUGAUUCUGUGGAAAUGGUGAAGGCUGCCAAAAAGUAACGCAUGAAUGAACAGUUCAGAGGCCCAGCAGUUCACAGAAAAGCAUCGCUUUCUGUCCAGGCAGCAGCAAGUUUAAAAUAGCCGCUUCCCUUUUCCGCACAUCAGGGCACAGUUCCAGAGGUUUUCAGGACUCUGGUACUUCCAACGGGGUUUUUGUUAGAAUCUGAAUUAUGAUAAGAUGGCUCUACCUACAUCUUCCAUCACAACUGGCUGUCAACUCGCUUGAAAGAUUCAGGCAGUGAUUAUUGCUGAAGACACCAUCUCUUUAAAGAGUAUAUUGUACAAUAAUGCAGUAAUUCUCCAUUUCAGUUGUGAAGGAGUAGGAGAGAUUUCAGCAAGCAUUUCAGUCUGAUGAAAUAGAAUUGAGAUUUCAGAUCCUGUGUACGACUGAACUUUUCUAAUGGAGCUGAAGCACCUCAGCUCUCCUGCAGAGACGGCAUCACCCAGCAGAACAGCAAACAGAGCAGGAAACAUCUGUGUGAGGCACAUCUGCCUCCUGCUCUCUGGCAAACGCUGUGACAAGGGGAAUCAUCCUGGCAUCCAGCAAGUGCCACCUCAUUUGUCACCGUGGUGCCUGUGCUGCCCCCACAGCUCCUUCUGUCUCACUUUCUCUGACCCUCGGCUCUGUACAAGUUCAUAAAAAAAGGGAUUUGUCUUCACAACUCCUGCAAUUCUCUUUAUUUUUGAAGUUUAUUUUUGAGGUUGGGCUAUCUGUUCUAUGUAGAGGGGCUUAAGGAGAAAGGCAGCAAUGUAUGACUUUAUAAAAUACUUUUUUUCACUUUUUCAGUUUGUCUGACUGAUGAUUCCUGCUCUUUCUGUCUCUCAUGAUUUACCUUCAUUAAAUGCUCUGAUCCAUGCCUAAAAAUUUUUCAUACAGGCCUCCUUCCUUUCUAAACAUUGCAUCUCUCUGCACUAAAUGAAGGCAGAAAAGAAAACCUUCCCAAGGUACAGUGUGAGGAAAGUGUGCAAGUGCAAACCCAG